This 1374-nucleotide ribosomal RNA is filed under the name Apilactobacillus sp. Its description in RNAcentral is "bacterial SSU rRNA". It matches the Rfam family "Bacterial small subunit ribosomal RNA", at positions 66 to 1422 of the family's 1533-position model. Lineage: Bacteria; Bacillati; Bacillota; Bacilli; Lactobacillales; Lactobacillaceae. The record is from RNAcentral.
GCUUGCAUAAAUGAUUUUUGGAUUCGGAGCGAGUGGCGAACUGGUGAGUAACACGUGGGUAACCUGCCCCGAAGCGGGGGAUAACAUUUGGAAACAAGUGCUAAUACCGCAUAAUUAGUUGGAACCGCAUGGUUCCAACUUGAAAGAUGGCUCUGCUAUCACUUUGGGAUGGACCCGCGCCGUAUUAGUUAGUUGGUGAGAUAAAAGCCCACCAAGACGAUGAUACGUAGCCGACCUGAGAGGGUAAUCGGCCACAUUGGGACUGAGACACGGCCCAGACUCCUACGGGAGGCAGCAGUAGGGAAUCUUCCACAAUGGACGAAAGUCUGAUGGAGCAACGCCGCGUGAGUGAUGAAGGUUUUCGGAUCGUAAAACUCUGUUGUUAAAGAAGAACAAGUGUUAGAGUAACUGUUAACACUUUGACGGUAUUUAACCAGAAAGCCACGGCUAACUACGUGCCAGCAGCCGCGGUAAUACGUAGGUGGCAAGCGUUGUCCGGAUUUAUUGGGCGUAAAGCGAGCGCAGGCGGUUUUGUAAGUCUGCUGUGAAAGCCCUCAGCUCAACUGAGGAAGUGCAGUGGAAACUACAAAACUUGAGUACAGAAGAGGAAAGUGGAACUCCAUGUGUAGCGGUGAAAUGCGUAGAUAUAUGGAAGAACACCAGUGGCGAAGGCGGCUUUCUGGUCUGUUACUGACGCUGAGGCUCGAAAGCAUGGGUAGCGAACAGGAUUAGAUACCCUGGUAGUCCAUGCCGUAAACGAUGAAUACUAGGUGGUUGGAAGGGUUUCCGCCCUUCAGUGCCGCAGCUAACGCAUUAAGUAUUCCGCCUGGGGAGUACGACCGCAAGGUUGAAACUCAAAGGAAUUGACGGGGGCCCGCACAAGUGGUGGAGCAUGUGGUUUAAUUCGAUGCUACGCGAAGAACCUUACCAGCUCUUGACAUCUUCUGCCAACCCAAGAGAUUGGGCGUUCCCUUCGGGGACAGAAUGACAGGUGGUGCAUGGUUGUCGUCAGCUCGUGUCGUGAGAUGUUGGGUUAAGUCCCGCAACGAGCGCAACCCUUAUUAUUAGUUGCCAGCAUUUAGUUGGGCACUCUAGUGAGACUGCCGGUGAUAAACCGGAGGAAGGUGGGGACGACGUCAAAUCAUCAUGCCCCUUAUGAGCUGGGCUACACACGUGCUACAAUGGAUGGUACAACGAGUCGCGAAACCGCGAGGUCAAGCUAAUCUCUUAAAGCCAUUCUCAGUUCGGAUUGCAGGCUGCAACUCGCCUGCAUGAAGUUGGAAUCACUAGUAAUCGUGGAUCAGCAUGCCACGGUGAAUACGUUCCCGGGCCUUGUACACACCGCCCGUCACACCAUGAGAGUUUGUAACACCC